This 115-nucleotide ribosomal RNA is filed under the name Castor canadensis (American beaver). Lineage: Eukaryota; Metazoa; Chordata; Mammalia; Rodentia; Castoridae. The record is from RNAcentral.
GUCUAUGGCCAUACCACCUUGAAUGUGCCCAAUCUCAUCUGAUCUCGGAAGCUAGGCAGGUUCGGGCCUGGUUAGGACUUGGAUCGGAGAAAGCGUCACAUAAAACACAUGGACA